GCCUGGAUAGCUCAGCUGGUAGAGCAUCAGACUUUUAAUCUGAGGGUCCAGGGUUCAAGCCCCUGUUCAGGCG
RNAcentral lists this transfer RNA (73 nucleotides) under Columba livia (rock pigeon). It matches the Rfam family "tRNA". Rfam says of the family: Transfer RNA (tRNA) molecules are approximately 80 nucleotides in length. Their secondary structure includes four short double-helical elements and three loops (D, anti-codon, and T loops). Further hydrogen bonds mediate the characteristic L-shaped molecular structure. tRNAs have two regions of fundamental functional importance: the anti-codon, which is responsible for specific mRNA codon recognition, and the 3' end, to which the tRNAs corresponding amino acid is attached (by aminoacyl-tRNA synthetases). tRNAs cope with the degeneracy of the genetic code in two manners: having more than one tRNA (with a specific anti-codon) for a particular amino acid; and 'wobble' base-pairing, i.e. permitting non-standard base-pairing at the 3rd anti-codon position. Lineage: Eukaryota; Metazoa; Chordata; Aves; Columbiformes; Columbidae. The record is from Rfam by way of RNAcentral.